GAUUGAAAGCUGGCGUCUUCGGCGUCCGCAUUGUAAUCUCAAGAAGUGUUUUCCGCUUCGGACCAUGCCUAAGUCCCUUGGAAAAGGGCAUCAUAGAGGGUGAUAAUCCCGUACAUGGCAUGGAGCGCCCGAGGCUUUGUGAUACGCUUUCUAAGAGUCGAGUUGUUUGGGAAUGCAGCUCAAAAUGGGUGGUAAAUGCCAUCUAAGGCUAAAUAUUGGGGAGAGACCGAUAGCGAACAAGUACAGUGAUGGAAAGAUGAAAAGAACUUUGAAAAGAGAGUUAAACAGUACGUGAAAUUGCCAAAAGGGAAGGGUAGGAGGUCAGAGAUGCGUCCUGGGAUUCAGCCUUGCUUUUGCUUGGUGUUUUUCCCAGAUUGCAGGCCAACGUCGGUUUUGGGCACUGGAGAAGGGUGGAAGGAACGUGGCACCUCUCGGGGUGCGUUAUAGCCUUCUACUGGAUACAGCGACCGAGACCGAGGACAGCAGCGUACUCGCAAGAGCGGGCCUUCGGGCACCUUUACGCUUAGGGCGUUGGCAUAAUGGCCCUCUACCACCCGUCUU
RNAcentral lists this ribosomal RNA (561 nucleotides) under uncultured Pseudozyma. Its description in RNAcentral is "eukaryotic LSU rRNA". It matches the Rfam family "Eukaryotic large subunit ribosomal RNA", at positions 112 to 655 of the family's 3401-position model. The record is from RNAcentral. Lineage: Eukaryota; Fungi; Basidiomycota; Ustilaginomycetes; Ustilaginales; Ustilaginaceae.